Long non-coding RNA from Zingiber officinale, 4800 nucleotides. RefSeq lists it as uncharacterized. The transcript is spliced from 15 exons. The record is from RefSeq and is a predicted model, not a curated record. NCBI's taxonomy places the organism in Eukaryota, Viridiplantae, Streptophyta, Magnoliopsida, Zingiberales, Zingiberaceae.
UUAGUUCGGUAAAGUACUUGAUUAAGUGUUCUAUGCUAGCGCUUGAGUUUUUAUUUUUAUCGUGUUUAUUCAUGAUAGCUAGACUUUGCUUCAAAAGGGUGUAAGCAUUGGUCUGAGUGAAGUUAUGGCGAGUGCUGGUAAACACCAAUAAACUUUAUCGAUGAACUUAUCCCUACAAUACGUACAACUCUAUGCGAUAGGUUUGAUUUUCUAUUUUCUAUUUGCACAUUUUUUUUGUAUGAUGCUGAAAAUUUAUUCAACUUGUAUGAUCACUCUUCAACUUGUUAUAUAGCAUGCAAGAGGUUCAUAAAUCAGCUGGCUUGGCAUUUAGCAUUCUUUACCAGGUUUACCUAUAUGUUUUAUUUGAUGUUCCUUAAUUGACAAUUUGCUAGAAUGCAAGGAAUUGAUGAAAAAUUUUCCACACCCCUUCAUGCAUUAGAGGAUGAUGAAACUUCUGAUACAGUGCUUGAUGGACUCAAACAAAUAUUGAGGCUAUUUAAUUAUUUGGUGUCUUCAUACUUCUUUCGUGGCGGCAAGCAAGCUUGUUUAAUUACCCUUGUAUCCUCAUUUCUUGCCUAUUUCAAUGUAGGGAUUACGGUCGUUUUGCUCACAUCUUGCCUAAAUUAGUCCAGUUUCCGCUUUCAUGAGAUUGACAUGGUAGUUCUUACUUCACCUGUUCAUUUUAUCUAGUGCCUUCAAUGCUUAUGCUUUGGGUGCCAUAGCUGAAGUUGCCAUCUUAAUUCACAUAUUGGAAUGAUCCUCCCACCAUUAAUUAUGUCAAUGGGUGAUUAUGAUGGGGUAAAUCAAUUUAUGAUUUAUUAAAAGUUUUGUAUGAUUUUUCUUAAAUAUGACCAUUUGACUCUCACAAUAGGUGAUCAGCCUUUUUACUGUUACAAUUUUUUCAUAUGAUUUUUAGAACAAUUGUUGUUGGAUAAGGUCCAAAUCCAAUAAUUAUAUGUUUGUCUUAGGACACUACUAACAGUAUUUUUUGAAUUCCUAUUGAUUAUUUCGACAUGCUUUUCUUAAAUUGAAUUUAUCUUUGCUCUUUCGAAUAUCUUAGUAUAAUAAUGAUAACCACUAUUCAUAAAUUGAUGAAAAAAAGCAGGAUAUGUUUUUCAGAUUAACAAGUGAGGAACACCAAAUGCUUGUAUACCUUUUCUGACAAUGAAUUUUCAAACGAUGAAGCAUUCCUAUCUUCUGUUUAUUCCUUUGCAUGAGCAUUUUUCUCAGCAGACAUUAUUAGUCAUGCUAUUGUCUUCCAUCUCUUUGCACAAUCCAUCCUCAUUGCACCGAAGUAUGCUCUUUCCAUCUUUUAUAGAUGCUCUCAAAGAUUCCUUGAAAGAUGAAAAGUUCCUAAAUUUGUCUACAACCAAGACAAUCAGUAGCUUCUCAAGAUGACUCAAGUGUGGUCAGACGAAGAGUCCUCUUUGGCAUAAAGGUCUAUGCAAAACAGUUAAAGUCUUUCGAUUUUAGGCCCAGCUAUUGCAGAAAGUUUAAAGAAUGGGAGUGGCCCAGUAAGACUUCCGCUAAGUGUUGUGCUCUGCUUGUUUUUCAGUUAACAAAAGGUUAGUGUUAUGUUGAUUUUGUUUAUCAUAGUUUCUCUUUAGCCUCUUGGAAUUCUUAGAAUUCUUUGACUAUUCAUUCAAUUUCAUUUUAGUAGUAAUUUAUUGCAAGUUAUUUAGGCAUUUUACUUCCAAAUCUACUGCAAUCUAUAAUUAUAUGUUGUCAAAUUGAAUUGUCUUUGACUUUAAUAUAUGGAACUACAUGAAAGUACCAUGCUUUAGCAGCUAUCACCUUUCUAUCAAGGUUCUAGAAAAUGUAUCUCACCAAAAACUUGACAAGCGUAAAAAUAGGCGGAGACAUCCAAUUUUAAAGCUUUUUAAAAAUAGGUUUGAUUCUUGUUUCCACUUGCUUAUAUGUGGAUGAUUGGCCAAUGUUCUUCCCUUUUUCUUGAAAUUUGACAAGAUUUAGAUUCUUGUUUUCCCUUGCUUAUACGUGGAUGAUUGACCAAUGUUCUCCUUUUCUUGAAAUUUGACAAGGAAGAUUGUUAUGUUGGAUAGGGUAUGUAUUGAGAGGACUAUUGACUAUAUCAAGAAAGUAACUACUCGAUGGUGUCUCUGAGUGAUAAAUGGUCUUCUAGGCCUGAGAUGUGGGAUGGUCUAGACUAUCAGAUACGAAUGUUCACGAGGGAAAGCUUCUUGAAUGUUCAUACAAUCAAAGUUGUGUUGGCGUAUGGGUUGUGGACCUCUCUGUGCGUAUUCUAACUCAUUCUAUUAGGCUUAAAAAUAUAUUUUUGCUUCUUGAGAAAACAUUAAAUGGUCACUAAAUCUGUAAAUAUAAAGUUUAAUACUAGCUGAUAUUAUGAAAUGCAGUGCAUUGAACCAUAUGCAAUUGCUAGUCCUAGAUUAAAUGAUCAUUCAGGACAAAAGUCUACAUCAGAUGGUAAUCCAUCUAUGCCAGAUGAUAACAUAAAGUCUAGUAUGAGGAGGUUAUCAAUAUUACAGAGUUCUGAAACAAAUUCUAAGGAGACAAAAUCAUUACUAGGUAGGCUAUUUGAAUAGUUUUUAUUGCAUUUUUCAUUUUAUGUGUUUGGAGCAGGUAUGAGAUAUGAAUAUUUCUCUUUUCUGUAAUUGGAGCAUGUGCUAGCACGAGAGCACCUCUGGUCGCACCAACAUCCGUUUCUUCCUCUGUAAAAAGAAGUUUAUCAAAACUUUAGUCCACAUCCAACCUUCAGACCAUCCAAGCAGAUAUGGUACCUAUGAUUGUUCCAAGAACUAGCAUGAGAAUACACUUGUCCUCUGAUUUUACUAUAGACUCUGGGGUUGGUAAAACAAUGCCAUUUGAUAUCCAAUUAAAAUUUACUGAAUUUUGGAAGGUGUUAAACAUCAAAUAGAAUUCAGAUAAAACAGAUAUCCAUUCAGUCUGGAUAUUUGAGCAGUAGUAAUAUUGAACAAAAUGAAUUUCUUGGCCAAACUCCUAUUUCUUUUGGCAAUUCAACAUGUGUCAGCUGAAACAAAUAAUUUGGAUGGUGUUAAGAACUUGAUUAAAGGAAGGAUCAGGUCUAUCCAAUUUAUUCAGAGAACCACAUUUGCACUUUGAUCAGGAAAAUUGUAAGUCUGAUGCCACCUUAUUUUGUUUUGUUAGAUUAUUCAUGAUUCCAACUUAUCAAGAUUUCUUGAUAUUAUUGUUGAACGUUGUUAGUUAUAGGACAUUCUAAAGCAUACAUCAUCACUAUUCUAUGUUAUUUUGUAUUGUGAUUAAAUAUUUCUUUGCAAAUCAUGGCAUAGAUAAUGAAGAGAACUUCCAGAGUGAAAUUUCAGCAUUGAUAAUUUUCAAUCUUGGUUGGACUAAUACCAAACUCCUGAGUUGGAUCUAUAUAAAUUCUUACCCUAUCAAGUGUCACCUCCAAGAAAUUAAGUAUUCAAGGAAGAAUGUAUUGAAGAUCAUGCACAAUCUUCAUCAAUACCAAGUACCCUUGCAACAUUAUAUGAACAUGAUGGAUCUUCAGGUAUGUAAGGUAACUGGAAUUUAAUCUUCCUAAGUAAUUGGUUUGAAUUAUUUCCAACCUCAUUUGGUUUACGUAUGAUUUAAUCUUUAGGAGAAGAUCUUUUACAAACUCCUCAUUGACCAUGUGGAAGAAUUGCUUCCAAUUAUUUAUACACCUAUUGUCGGAGAGGCAUGCUAGACUCUAUCUUUAGGCAUCCUCAGGGCCUCUAUAUCAGUUUGAAUGAGAAGUUAUUAUGUUGCUUGAGUUGCUUCCUAAUCCAAUUACUGAAAUUUAUGGAAUAAAUUGAGUUUUCAAAGGAAGGAUUCUUGAGGUACUGAGAGACUGGCCUGAAAGGAAUAUUCAAAUUAUUGUGGUCAUAGAUGGUGAGCGGAUCUUGGGUUUUGGGGAUCUUGUCUGCCAGGGCAUGGGAAUUCCUAUGGGCAAACUUGCUUUAUAUAGUGUACUUGGUGGAGUCCGUUCAUCUGCUGUGAAAGUUCUGUGAAUAAGAUGGAGCAACAUGCUAAUUGUGUGGGGAACUAUUUAUAAGUUCUUCCUUUUGCCUUUGAAGGAAAGCAAAUCAACCUCCAGCAACCUCAAAGAAGCUUCUGUUACGUCAUUCUCAGAAGCCCAUGUGCAUGGUCUUGUCUGGUGUAGUAGGUUAAGUUGACAAGGAAACUACAAAAUGGUGUCACAACAACAGAUUUGGUUUUGACUGUCACCCAAAUGUUGAGGAAAAUAUGGAGUUGUUCGCAAGUUUGUCAAGUUCUAUGGUAAAGGAAUGGGUGAGUUAUCAUUGGCUGAUAGGGCAACAAUAACUAAUAUGUCACCUGAAUUUGGAGCAACAAUGGGUUUUUUCCCCAUGGAUCAUGUGACCUUGCAAUAUCUUAAGUUGACUGGAAGAAGUGAUGAGACUAUGAGUAUACUUAUUCAACAAGCGUGUAACUUGUCUGUACUGAAAAUGACAUGGUCCCAAACCAUUAUGUCAGUUUUUCUAUUUCGUUUCUUCAACAUAGAAAUGCAUAUUACCCUUUUAGACAUUAAUCUAACCAUGAAAUGAUAGGAGAGAGCAAAUUUCAUGAAAGGGGAUGGUGUAAGAAGAUACAUACUUGAGUGACUAUUGAAGUUUAGAAAACAUAUCCAAUGUGUGAUAAUCACAUGAAUUUGAACAUCUCUAGUGCAACAAUCUUGUUGGUUCAAGUGAGCUAAAUUGAAAAAUUCAAAUGAUAUAAGUCACCUUAUCUAAUAUUCAUAUGUUUCAAUGUAACACUGCAAAUAUGAAUAUUUCUGUGCUUAUUUAGCUACUUAACUCAUUC